This 329-nucleotide unclassified non-coding RNA is filed under the name soil metagenome. Its description in RNAcentral is "partial contains 5.8S ribosomal RNA, internal transcribed spacer 2, and large subunit ribosomal RNA". The stretch from base 1 to 120 matches the Rfam family "5.8S ribosomal RNA", at positions 35 to 154 of the family's 154-position model. The record is from RNAcentral.
GAUGAAGAACGCAGCGAAAUGCGAUAAGUAGUGUGAAUUGCAGAAUUCAGUGAAUCAUCGAAUCUUUGAACGCACAUUGCGCCCCUUGGUAUCCCGAGGGGCAUGCCUGUUCGAGCGUCAUUUCACCACUCAAGCCUGGCUUGGUGUUGGGCGACGUCCUCUUUGGGGACGCGCCUCGAAACGCUCGGCGGCGUGGCACCGGCUUUAAGCGUAGCAGAAUCUUUCGCUUUGGAAGUCGGGGCCCCGUCUGCCGGAAGUCCUGCUCGCAAGGUUGACCUCGGAUCAGGCAGGGAUACCCGCUGAACUUAAGCAUAUCAAUAAGCGGAGGA